GAGGACAAAAAAAAUCCCAGACCUUCUUCCAAAAUCCAAUUCCAUAACAGAAAACUGGCACAUGACCCAUAUUCAGUUGCAGUGUUCCUUUACUUUCUCCCUUCAAAAGUUAAAAGAAACAAAAACCAAAAAACAGAAGGAAAAAAAAGAGGCAGCUACCGAGACACCAGAGGUCUCAACAGUGUAAUAGAUCCAGAGAGAAUCCUGACGGGCCGACGUUCCUUUGGAUUCUGUGAACCUAUGCUUGUUGCUAACUUGCUAUCCUCCCACACUGACCAACAGUAGCACAACCCACGCCAAAAAUAAAAGAAAAAGAANNNNNNNNNNNNNNNNNNNNCUGUGAACCUAUGCUUGUUGCUAACUUGCUAUCCUCCCACACUGACCAACAGUAGCACAACCCA
This 401-nucleotide long non-coding RNA is filed under the name Phoenix dactylifera (date palm). RNAcentral describes it as "long non-coding RNA (PDAC_LNC003600)". The record is from RNAcentral. Lineage: Eukaryota; Viridiplantae; Streptophyta; Magnoliopsida; Arecales; Arecaceae.